GUAGGAAACCUGUGAACUUCCCAUGUCUAUUCCUCUGUGGUUUUUCUUUUUCUUUCUUUUCUUUUUCUUUCCAAAGUACAAGUACCCUUGAAAAAUAACAAUUAUGCCUCUGCUAAACUCCUAGCAAACUGUUUCUCCCACUUGGGUCGGUGAGGUGAUGCACUUGGCGGCGGUGUGGUCAUGGAGGCUGCGGGUCACAGAGAAGUCCUGGUUCCCAGGCUAGGGGUCGAAUGGGAGCUACAGCUGCCGGCCUAUGUCACAGCCACAGCCACGGAGGAUCCGAGCCGUGUCUGCGACCUACACCGCAGCCCUUGGCAAUGCCGGAUCCUUAACCCAGUGAGCAAGGCCAGGGAUUGAACCUGCAUCCUCAUGGAUGCUAGUCAGAUUUGUUUCCACUGUGCCACAACGGGAGCUCCUUAAAUAUUUGUUAAGUGAAAUAAUGACUCCAGGGUUGCUAGGUCUUUGCUCUCGGCCUUGCAUUGUCAUUUCUUGCGUUUGUUCAGUACUUACUUUUUCCCCAGCGCUCAUGAUGUAGGUUAAAGUCACUGCCAUUCUUAUCAAAUAGAUGAAAUAAUUGAAGCCUAAAAUUGUCAUGGCAAAGCCAGGGAAGAGACGAGUCCAUGUUAGCAGACCUCUGGUCCCAGCCUCUUUCCACUGGCCAGUGCUGGCUCUCUGGGCACUUUAUUUUUCUGUCGGGAUGAUGUUAUUGUUUGUUUUAUUUGGCAGUAUUUACACCAGAGGAGUAGGGGCCAUUGUGUGUCAGUGGCGACUGGAAAUGCACAGCAGAGUCCCAGGAGAAUGCCACUGUCGGUCUUCACCACAAUUAGCAAUUGUCAGGCCAGGGGCAGUGACUGGGUGGGUGUCGUUCCCUAUGUGGCGGGUUCUGUAUGUCACAAUCCACUGCCUGCUCCUGCCAGAGGCAGAGGAGAGUAGAGGGGUCCCGGGACCUCAGUUCCUUUUCUGUCUGGUCCUGUCUAUCCCACCACUUACAUAUAGGCCCCUUCUGCUUGGGACAUGUCCUGUUAUAUGUCUAGUGGGAUUCCUGUGGCCUGGUGAAAUGGAAAGAGGAGUGCUCGCCGCUUGCCACCUGGGUGGCCUUUAGCUUCUGUUUCUCCAUCUUUAAAACAGGGGAGGAGGUAGGAACCAGACCAGAUAAGCUCAAAGAUCCCUCCCAGGGUUCCAGUUCCCUUGUGAAGUGAAGCCUGGUCCUGACUCCUGUGUGCAGGUGCUGAGGGAAGGAAGUUAAAGGUGAUCGGUGGGGUUCUGGAGAAAGCCUCCCCAGUUCCCCUGUAAUUUCCCCCAAGCGGAGGUUCUGUUGAAGUGGAUUAGGGCAGAGACUUGGGAGUCAUUACUCGGCAGGGCAUGAUGCCAGGGAGCAGGGGCUUCCCUCACGUCCCUGACCACAGCAGGACCACCUUUAAGGAGGAAGUGGGUUAAGGUGGGACACAUGUGUGCUGCCCAGCGCUGUCCUCAAAGGGAGCAGUUGUGUUAGCAGGUGGAGCUGUGUCUCAUCUCCCAAUACCAGGGAAGAAGAAGGUGGGCUGCUGGGGUGAGUGCGAGCACCUUUAACCGGGAGGCCUGGCUCCCCACUCUGAUGGCAUCACGCUGCAGCUGUCAUGCUCUUCCUCUGAGCCUCAGUUUCCACAUCUGUCAGAUGGCUGCUGCUGUAAAUCCCUGUCCUGCUAGCUGGAUUGGGACUGCGAAAACAUCAGCUACUGCAAAAGAAGGGGCCAUACUUCUGGCAUCCCUAUCCACAUGUGUGUUUGUUUAUGGGUGUGUAUAUGAAUGAACAUCCCCAGGGUUGUCCCAUCAUGACAUCGUGGACACAGACUUGCUGAAAGUACUGAGUCCUUCCAUCUGAGACGGCCAACGAGCGGACUGAACUAGAAAGCUGGUGGCCUUGAGAGGAACAGGCUUAAGAACUGCUGAAUGGAGUCCUGUCAUAUUUGGGGGGAGGGGGAGAGCCGUGUGGAUCAGAGGUGAGUCACCGUGCAUGAGCGCUGGGGAGUCACCUUGAACCUGAGCCAAAAAAGUAGAAGUACUGGGACUUGGGUUUAUCUGCGUUACAUCAGGUACAUCAAGUUCUGGAUGGCCGCCCACUGGCCAGAGACCUGAGGUGGACGGCUCUCCCUUGCUGCCCUGGGAAGGCUUUCUGCUGGCUGCGGCCCCGCUGAGCAAAGUCCGCUUGUUCAGUGGAGUUCACACAGACUCCUUGCCAGGCCUGCCCAGAAUCCUGUCUCCUCUGACUUCCUGUGCUCUUGCAUAAUAUUUCCUUGCUUCUUGAAUGGCUGCCCCCGGUGCGGGGGCAGCUCCCUGACGCGGCUGGACGGAGAGCAGGAUGUGGAGGGAGGGCAGGGAUGUGCAGACGUCACCCAGGGGUGCCUGGGCCCCCAGGGAGGAGGGCGGUGCUCCCCAGAUUGCUUGGAGGGAGAUUUUAGCAUAGGGGUGGUUAGGGAGACGAUGCAAGCAUGUGUGUGCAUACACACACCACCCCCAAACACACAUACACACACAGCCCAGACCCCAUAAGUUGUCUCUCCCGUAAAAUUAUGUUUAGGGUAGUUGUUUUCUUCUGAUGGUAGAAAGUAUACACGUUCCCUGUGAAAAGUUAUACUAUAGGAAGGCAUUGAGAUAAAAAUAAAAAUCACCAGAAUUCCACCAUCCAGAGAUAACCACUGUUAACACUUUGGGGAACAUAACUUUCUUCCGUACAGCAAAUAUGGACAUGUAAUUACAGAUUAUAAUCCUACUCUGUGCUCUCGUAAAAAUGCAUUUUCUAUACAGUGACCUAUCAGUAUUCUCUCUUGCUCUACACAAGACAUAGAUUUAAUACAGCUGCGUGUAGUUCCACUUAACAGAUGAUCAUAAUGCAACUCCUAUUCAUUCCCGUUCAAGUUCAGAAAACAAGCUCUCACCAGGCCAGAGAUGUUCUCGAACUUGGAAAGCAGCAUCUCUGCCUACGCCUGACCAAUGAGGUAGCUCUGGUGUCCCAGAAAUAAGUACAGAUGAAAAGCUUUUGUACCCAUGUAGGCCUUUCUGUAGGCUCAGAGUAAUUCACGUGAUGACAUAGAGGAGGGCGGUCAGGGCCGGCCUGGGCGUCCUCUUUGGGGAAGAUCAUCUCCCAGUGUGUGUCUGCUUUGAGCCAGGAGCCACUAGCCAGAAGAACAAGUUUUUCAGAAGAACGGGUUUUUCUUCAGUCCUGUCUUCCUGUGCCCAAGAAUUCAAAUAAGCUUCAUUUUAAAUCUUAAUUGGGGAUCACCCUCUUGAAAUUUUGUCACCGUGUGUACCUUUUAAAAGGCACCCUUCCUUCUUUACACAGUCUUGUAUUUAUGAUAUGGAAAACGUGAGUGUAUCUAUAGUGCCCUUCAGAUUUGUAGCAGGUGGAAGAUAAAGCCAGAUUUUUUUAGCUGAAAUAAAUAUGCUGUCGCUACCAUGUUUCUGUCCCAUCCCUGAAAGCUGGAUAUGUUUACGGUUGUUCCACUGGGAACCCAGUGGCUAGACAGCAUUUGCUUGUUUCCUUUGAGUCCUUUUUAAACUGGCUUGGCUAGUCUUUUGAUUUAAUCAAGAGUUUUUAGUCUGAGGCUGGGCUCAUUGCUUGUGGUUCAAAAUUGCUUGUUAGGUUUACUUUUGAGUCAAGACAAAAUUUGUUUCCUAGAGCUAGCUCUCUGUUUCAGACUUUGCGUCUAAGUUGAAAAGCUUGCUGUCACUGGUCAGCUUAAACACAUUUAUUUAAAAGUUCUCAGGCAUCGUUUAAAAUAAAAAUUUGCAACAGAAUUUAGCGCCAAUAGAAUCCAAGUAUUUUACCCAUUUUGUUUAUAGUUGUCCACUCUCCAGGCAAACAAUCUAUUAUAACAAUUUGUGUAAUUACAGUCUCUCCUUCAAUUUAUUCACCCAGGAUGCCUUUUUUUUGAGAAUUCCUGGCCAAACUGUUAUUACAUUAAAUUUGUUGACUAUACCCUGUGAGGAGUUAGGAUGACGAUGUGAGUUAAAGAAAGGAAAUCAUGUAUAAUGUUUGUCUGCUCUGCAACAUUUUCAGUGUGUGAACAUUUACAAGUUGAUUUUGUAAUUGUCCCCUUUCUUGGUCAUUACCUGCUUCAGGUGGGGUCUUGGCCACGAGGGCGCAUUUGGGAAGUGAGAAGGGGCACGGUGGAAUUGGUCCUUAGAUUAUGAAACGGGAGUUUGUUGAAACUGAUAGUUUUCUGCAGUGAGCAUAGAGCAGCCGUUGGCAUGGCAACCCCUACGUGGAAAAGUGCACGCCGCUCGCAGAUGACUUUUGCAGUCCUCAGUGUUAAUCUGAUAAAUGGCUUUUUUAAUAGUAGUUUGUGGGCUAAUGGAAAGGUUGAAGCAAACCUUCAUUAACAGGAAGAAGGAUGGGGAUUUUUGAAGCCACCGAGGGAACACAUUGGGGAGCCAAAGCCAAAUCUCCAUUUUCAGCCCAGUGUCUCUUUUUCAUGUCAGGUAUGUUUGGAGCGUGACAAGCCAAAGUAAAUUGGGAAUACUGUCUUGAAAGGGUGUCACUGCCAUCAUCAGUUUAGAUUUUCAAGCAGGCAGUGGUUUGGUGUCCAUUUUAUUCAGAACCUUUACUUUAGUGAGAAUUUACAAAACACUGUAAAAGGUUUGCAUUGAGGUCUCUUUUUCUUUUGGUGGCCAUGGUGGGGUGAGGUGUUUUUAUUGUUGUUGUUGUUGUUGUUGUUUUCCCAGUGUGGUGAAAUACAUAUAAAACACAAGUUGACCAUUUUAACCAUUUUUAAGCGUACAGUUCAGUGGCAUUUAGUAUAUUCACACUGUUGUGUGGCCACCACAUUAACCUUCUCGAGAACUUUCCCACCACCCCAGAUUGAAAAGUCUAUACCCAUUAAACAUUAACCCCUAUUCCUCCCUCCCUUAAGCCCCUAGAAACCACUAUUCUAGAAACCUCACCUAAGUGGAACCAUACAAUUAUUUGUUCUUUCGUGUCUGGCUGAUUUCAUUUAGCAUAGUGUUUUCAAGUGUCAUCCGUGUUGUAGCAUGCAUCAGAAUUUCAUUCCUUUUUAAGGCUGAAUAACAUUUCAUUAUAUGUAUAGACUACAUUUAGUUUAUCCUUCCUUGAAUUGACAUUUAGUUUGUUCUCCCCUUGGCUAUUGUGAAUAAUGCUGCUAGGAACAUGGGCAUACAAAUAUCUGUAUCAGGAGUUCCUAUUGUGGCGCGGUGGAAACAAAUCCGACUAGGAACCGUGAGGUUGUGGGUUCGAUCCCCGGCCUCACUCAGUGGGUUAAGGAUCCCGCAUUGCUAUGGCUGUGGUGUAGGCUGGCAACUGUAGCUUGGAUUGGACUCCUAGCCUGGGAAUCUCCAUAUGCCAUGGGUGUGGCCCUAAAAAGCAAAAUAAAUAAAUGAAUAAAUAUCUAAGUCCCUGCUUUCAGUUCUUUGGGGUAUACACCUAGCAGUUGAAUUGAUGAGCCGUGUGGUAAUUUUAUGUUUAUUUUUGUAAGGAACUGCCAUAGUGUCUUUCACAACAGCUGUACCAUUUUACAUUCCCACUAGCCAUAUACAAGGCUUCCAAUUUGUCCACAUCCUUGCCUUUCCCCACCCCCUGGCUUUUUGUUGUUCUUUUAAAUAAAAGCCAUCCACUGGAUGUGAAGUGGUAUUUUACUGUGGCUCUGAUUCGCAUUUCUCUAAUGAUUUUCAGUUUAUUUGUCUUUAUAAAUACAUUGCCACACGCUUGAUGGCCUGUGGGGAUGGAAAUCACUGCCACAUUGUUCAUACCUGAGAGGCAGUGAGACCGUCGGAGAUGUUUGCUGGGGGUAAAGGGUGGAAGGGAGUGUAUCGUCAUCACAUGGGACACAUGAUUGUUAUACCGUACAGCCACCUCAGUAGACCUGUAGGCAAAGUUUGUGCUGUGGGACAGAUGAGCUGGUUUUAAAAUAGAUGCCUUUGACACCUGAACUCAUAUAAAACUGUAAGUCACUUAUACUUCAAUUAAAAAAAAAUGAAGGGGGCAUUCCCAUCAUGACUCAGUGGUAGCGAACCUGGCUAGUAUCUAUGAGGACACAGGUUCAAUCCCUGGCCUUGCUCAGUGGGUUAAGGAUCCAGCGUUGCUGUGAGCUGUGGUGUAGGUUGCAGAUGCAGCUCAGAUCCUGAAUUGCUGUGGCUGUUUGAUCCCUGGUCUUGCUCAGUGGGUUAAGGAACCAGCAUUGCUGUAGCUGUGGUGUAGGCCGGCAGCUGCACCUCCAAUUAGAUCCCUAGCCUGGGAACUUCCAUAUGCUGCAACUUAAAA
RNAcentral lists this long non-coding RNA (6253 nucleotides) under Sus scrofa (pig). RNAcentral's name for it is "lncRNA (ENSSSCG00055022111.1)". The record is from RNAcentral. Lineage: Eukaryota; Metazoa; Chordata; Mammalia; Artiodactyla; Suidae.